This 776-nucleotide ribosomal RNA is filed under the name uncultured Neocallimastigales. RNAcentral describes it as "partial large subunit ribosomal RNA". It matches the Rfam family "Eukaryotic large subunit ribosomal RNA", at positions 24 to 644 of the family's 3401-position model. Lineage: Eukaryota; Fungi; Neocallimastigomycota; Neocallimastigomycetes; Neocallimastigales. The record is from RNAcentral.
UACGACUACAUAUCAGGCAUAUCAAUAAGCGGAGGAAAAGAAACUAACAAGGAUUCCCUUAGUAACGGCGAGUGAAGCGGGAAGAGCUCAAAUUUGAAAUCUUCAAGGUUUUACCUUGACGAAUUGUAGUUUAAAGAAGUGUUUUCUAUUGAAGUUUCGGUAAAAGUUCUUUGGAAUAGGACAUCAUAGAGGGUGAGAAUCCCGUAUUUGACCGUUAUUUUCAGCUGUGUGAUACACUUUCAAAGAGUCGGAUUGUUUGGGAAUGCAGUCCAAAAUGGGUGGUAAAUUUCAUCUAAAGCUAAAUAUUGGCGAGAGACCGAUAGCGAACAAGUACCGUGAGGGAAAGAUGAAAAGAACUUUGAAAAGAGAGUUAAACAGUACGUGAAAUUGUCAAAAGGGAAGCGUUUGACACCAGUGUUGUUUUCUCGAAAAUCAAUUAAAAAUGGCUUGAUUUUGUGUUGUAUUGACCUUAAAAGCUUUCUUCACUUUUUUCAUGUCUUUUUUAAUGCACUUUUCGUUUAACAAGUCAACAUCAGUUUCUUUUGUUGUAAAAAGGUCAUUGGAAGGUGGCUUUCCUUUUCGGAGAAAGUGUUUAUAGCCUUUGACUCCUGCAAUCGGAGAGACUGAGGUCUGCAGCGUAGAUCCUUCUUGGAUUAGAUUCAUUUGUGCUAAGUUAUAGCUUUUAUAGACAACUUGUUGACUAUAGUUUAGUCUUGUAGCUUACUCGCUUAUGUAAUUUUACCUACGCUUAGGAUGUUGAAUCUGUGCGAGACUAC